UACCCCUCUUAUCCUAUGGUUUUGUUAAUGUCUCCUUUUUUAAAUAAAAAAAAUUUUAAUUUAAAAAUCACAUGCCAACAUACAUCAGGGUACCAGCCAUAACCUGCCAGCUGUGAAGGUCCCAGGGGACCCCAGUGUUGCCUCUUCCAGGUCUCCUAACUGUACCCGCAGAAUCUAAACAGUUGGUAGGAUGCCAGAUGCUCUCAUUUUUUUUCUCUUUCUUUCUUUUUUUUU
Molecule: long non-coding RNA, 234 nt
Organism: Erinaceus europaeus (western European hedgehog)
Lineage: Eukaryota; Metazoa; Chordata; Mammalia; Eulipotyphla; Erinaceidae
Exons: 2
Source: RefSeq, a predicted model, not a curated record